CGUCUUAGUUCGUGGAGUGAUCUGUCUGCUUAAUUGCGUUUCACUAAGGGCCCAUAAAUUCAAGGUAUGUUAGCUAUCGUUUCUCAAUUGACCCCUUGUCUUCGAUAAGCGCGUGUCUUUUAGAGUUUAAACAUUGCGCAUGCUGUUGGGUCCUGAAAGCAACGAACGUGACCGCAACGUCUUAUUGCCUUUAUCUUGUUAUAUUCUAAUUUAAUUAGAAAUAACUAACAGAGGCUAAUUUAAAAUUAGACGGACCGCUGUACUUUUCUUAAACCAGAGGAAGGUUGCGGCAAUAACAGGUCUGUGAUGCCCUUAGAUGUUCCGGGCUGCACACGUGCUACAAUGAUCAGUACAGUGAGCAUCUCAAUAUUAUACACCGUAUUAAGCGCUUAGUUGCGAUUAUUGGCUCAUUAUUGGGUCUUUUAAUUGUAUUUCUAAUGCGCGCGGUAAAGCCUGCUUCGAGAGUAAGUGGGUAAUCCAUUGGAAGUAAUGAUUUCUCUUUUUAUAGCACACCUAUAUACGGCAUUCAUUCCCGGGACGACUAGUUUCG
Molecule: ribosomal RNA, 550 nt
Filed under: Neogloboquadrina dutertrei
Lineage: Eukaryota; Foraminifera; Rotaliida; Globorotaliidae
Description: SSU rRNA
Rfam family: Eukaryotic small subunit ribosomal RNA (bases 1-447)
Source: RNAcentral